UGGGGAAUAUUGGACAAUGGGCGAAAGCCUGAUCCAGCCAUGCCGCGUGUGUGAAGAAGGUCUUCGGAUUGUAAAGCACUUUAAGUUGGGAGGAAGGGCAGUAAGCGAAUACCUUGCUGUUUUGACGUUACCGACAGAAUAAGCACCGGCUAACUCUGUGCCAGCAGCCGCGUUAAUACAGAGGGUGCAAGCGUUAAUCGGAAUUACUGGGCGUAAAGCGCGCGUAGGUGGUUCGUUAAGUUGAAUGUGAAAGCCCCGGGCUCAACCUGGGAACUGCAUCCAAAACUGGCGGGCUAGAGUAGGGCAGAGGGUGGUGGAAUUUCCUGUGUAGCGGUGAAAUGCGUAGCUAUAGGAAGGAACACCAGUGGCGAAGGCGACCACCUGGGCUCAUACUGACACUGAGGUGCGAAAGCGUGGGGAGCAAACAGG
RNAcentral lists this ribosomal RNA (429 nucleotides) under Pseudomonadota bacterium. Its description in RNAcentral is "Proteobacteria bacterium partial 16S ribosomal RNA". It matches the Rfam family "Bacterial small subunit ribosomal RNA", at positions 355 to 776 of the family's 1533-position model. Lineage: Bacteria; Pseudomonadati; Pseudomonadota. The record is from RNAcentral.